UGUGUUCAUGUCUUCUCAAGGAAUGCU
RNAcentral lists this non-coding RNA (27 nucleotides) under Rattus norvegicus (Norway rat). Lineage: Eukaryota; Metazoa; Chordata; Mammalia; Rodentia; Muridae. The record is from RNAcentral.